This 333-nucleotide ribosomal RNA is filed under the name bacterium. Its description in RNAcentral is "partial 23S ribosomal RNA". It matches the Rfam family "Bacterial large subunit ribosomal RNA", at positions 2594 to 2925 of the family's 2925-position model. The record is from RNAcentral.
CGGUACGCGAGCUGGGUUUAGAACGUCGUGAGACAGUUCGGUCCCUAUCCUCUGUAGCCGAAGGUGAUUUGAGGAAGGCUGUCCCUAGUACGAGAGGACCGGGACGGACGCAGCUCUCGUGUGCCAGUUGUCCUGCCAAGGGCAUGGCUGGUUAGCGACCUGCGGAAAGGAUAACCGCUGAAAGCAUCUAAGUGGGAAGCCUGUUCCAAGAUGAGAUCACCCACCGGGUAAACCGGGUAAGGCCCGUGGCAGAACACCACGUUGAUAGGCCGGAAGUGUACACAUGGCGACAUGUUCAGCUGACCGGUACUAAUCGGCCGAGGGCUUGGUUCU